GAAGGAAGCCGAUGGAGCUGUCGUUUCAGGCGCGCAGCAAUCAGUCGUGAACGGCUUGCACCGGCUUGCAGCGACGGCAGCGGCGUGUUCGUUCGCUGCUGCUGCCGAGGCGCUGUUCGCCCAGUGAGUUCCGGUGUUUGGUCGAAGCGAUGCAUUUGCUGCGCGCUGGCGUUACGAGCAGCGCUUGGCGGUUGCCUGGUUGAGCAACGCGAUCGUCCGUCCCUGGGGCGCCGCGCCGUGCAAGCGGCAGCGAACCGCUCCGGCGGACGGUCGGUAGCCGACUGGUGAUCUUGCAACCGAGACAUUGCCAACGCUGCAAUUUGCAAUUUGCGCUAGGCUGCUUCGCUAUGCCGAGGCAUGCUGUGCGGCAUCGUGGUUGCCACGUGUUGUCUGCGCUUGCCUGUUGCCAGUUUUUGUUGACCGAUUUUCCGAAGCGCCGUUGUUGCGGUGCUUUCGGCGAUUUCGGCAUGGUCGGGCGGCCAGACAGUGGCGAUCGCAAGUACGCAGGCACCUAUGCGCCAAUCGGUAACGUCUUUGUGACGGUCACCCAUCGGACCCGUCUUGAAACACGGACCAAGGAGUGCAGCAGUUACGCGAGUCAUUGACGACUUGUCUCUGUUUGUUUGAAAAGUCAAAGGCGUAACGAAAGUACACGCGAAAAGUUUGGUGUGUACAACUUUUGGCCUAGCUGCCAAAAGUGCAUACAGAAGCCGUUCGAUUCGUCACCCGCCCGCCCGCGCGCUAACGCGCGCGCGUACGCGGUGCGCGGUCGAUGCAACGGAUUCGGAGCGUACAUGCUGCUACCCGAAAGAUGGUGAACUAUGCCUGAGCAGGACGAAGCCAGAGGAAACUCUGGUGGAAGUUCGAAGCGGUGUUGACGUGCAAAUCACUCGCU
Molecule: ribosomal RNA, 895 nt
Filed under: Capillaria aerophila
Lineage: Eukaryota; Metazoa; Nematoda; Enoplea; Trichinellida; Capillariidae
Description: partial 28S ribosomal RNA
Rfam family: Eukaryotic large subunit ribosomal RNA
Source: RNAcentral